Molecule: ribosomal RNA, 1038 nt
Filed under: uncultured bacterium
Lineage: Bacteria
Description: bacterial SSU rRNA
Rfam family: Bacterial small subunit ribosomal RNA
Source: RNAcentral
AGUGGGGAAUCUUUCGCAAUGGACGAAAGUCUGACGGAGCGACACCGCGUGGGGGAUGACGGCUUUCGGGUUGUAAACCCCUUUUCUGGGGGAAGAAUAAGGUCGGGAGGAAAUGCCCGUCCGAUGACGGUACUCCAGGAAUAAGCAUCGGCUAACUUCGUGCCAGCAGCCGCGGUAAGACGAAGGAUGCAAGCGUUAUCCGGAAUUACUGGGCGUAAAGGGCGUCUAGGCGGUCGGGCAAGUCACCUGUGAAAGCCCUCAGCUUAACUGAGGAACGUCAGGUGAAACUGCUCGGCUUGGGUGCAGGAGAGGAGGGUGGAACUCACAGAGUAGCGGUGGAAUGCGUAGAUACUGUGAGGUACCCCGAUGGCGAAGGCAACCCUCUGGCCUGCUACCGACGCUGAAGCGCGAAAGCGUGGGGAGCAAAGGGGAUUAGAUACCCCCGUAGUCCACGCCGCAAACGAUGUUCACUGGGUGUCGGUCACACAUAUAGAUCGGUGCCGGAGCUAACGCGUUAAGUGAACCGCCUGGGGAGUACGGCCGCAAGGCUAAAACUCAAGAGAAUUGACGGGUCCCUGCACAAGCGGUGGAGCACGUGGUUUAAUUCGAUGAUAAGCGAAGAACCUCACCUGGGCUUGACAUACUAGUGGUAGGAACCUGAAAGGGCGACGACCCUUCCCUUCGGGGUUGGGAGCUAGCACAGGUGAUGCAUGGCUGUCGUCAGCUCGUGUCGUGGGACGUAGGGUUAAGUCCCGAAACGAGCGCAACCCUUGUCGUUAGUUGCCAGCGGGUAAUGCCGGGGACUCUAACGAGACUGCUGGUGAAUAGCCGGAGGAAGGAGGGGAUGACGUCAAGUCAUCAUGUCCCUUAUGCCCAGGGCGACACACAUGCUACAAUGGGAGGUACAAAGGGUCGCAAUACCGUAAGGUGGAGCCAAUCCAUAAAAACCUUCCUUAGUUCGGAUUGAGGUCUGCAACUCGACCUCAUGAAGCCGGAAUCGCUAGUAAUCGCGGGUCAGCCAUACCGCGGUGAAUAUGU